UACGUAGGGUGCAAGCGUUAAUCGGAAUUACUGGGCGUAAAGCGUGCGCAGGCGGUUUUGUAAGUCUGAUGUGAAAUCCCCGGGCUCAACCUGGGAAUUGCAUUGGAGACUGCAAGGCUAGAAUCUGGCAGAGGGGGGUAGAAUUCCACGUGUAGCAGUGAAAUGCGUAGAGAUGUGGAGGAACACCGAUGGCGAAGGCAG
Molecule: ribosomal RNA, 201 nt
Filed under: uncultured bacterium
Lineage: Bacteria
Description: partial 16S ribosomal RNA
Rfam family: Bacterial small subunit ribosomal RNA
Source: RNAcentral